UACGGAGGAUGCGAGCGUUAUCCGGAUUUAUUGGGUGUAAAGGGUGCGUAGAUGGGAAGACAAGUUAGUUGUGAAAUCCCUCGGCUCAACUGAGGAACUGCAACUAAAACUACAUUUCUUGAGUGCAGGAGAGGUAAGUGGAAUUCCUAGUGUAGCGGUGAAAUGCGUAGAUAUUAGGAGGAACACCAGUGGCGAAGGCGACUUACUGGACUGUAACUGACGUUGAGGCACGAAAGUGUGGGGAGCAAACAGG
RNAcentral lists this ribosomal RNA (253 nucleotides) under uncultured bacterium. Its description in RNAcentral is "partial 16S ribosomal RNA". It matches the Rfam family "Bacterial small subunit ribosomal RNA", at positions 524 to 776 of the family's 1533-position model. The record is from RNAcentral.